Molecule: ribosomal RNA, 614 nt
Filed under: Achromobacter sp.
Lineage: Bacteria; Pseudomonadati; Pseudomonadota; Betaproteobacteria; Burkholderiales; Alcaligenaceae
Description: bacterial SSU rRNA
Rfam family: Bacterial small subunit ribosomal RNA
Source: RNAcentral
CGAAAGGCAGCCUCCUGGGAUCACACUGACGCUCAUGCACGAAAGCGUGGGGAGCAAACAGGAUUAGAUACCUGGUAGUCCACGCCCUAAACGAUGUCAACUAGCUGUUGGGGCCUUCGGGCCUUGGUAGCGCGCUAACGCGUGAAGUUGACCGCCUGGGGAGUACGGUCGCAAGAUUAAAACUCAAAGGAAUUGACGGGGACCCGCACAAGCGGUGGAUGAUGUGGAUUAAUUCGAUGCAACGCGAAAAACCUUACCUACCCUUGACAUGUCUGGAAGCCGAAGAGAUUUGGCAGUGCUCGCAAGAGAACCGGAACACAGGUGCUGCAUGGCUGUCGUCAGCUCGUGUCGUGAGAUGUUGGGUUAAGUCCCGCAACGAGCGCAACCCUUGUCAUUAGUUGCUACGAAAGGGCACUCUAAUGAGACUGCCGGUGACAAACCGGAGGAAGGUGGGGAUGACGUCAAGUCCUCAUGGCUUAUGGGUAGGGCUUCACACGUCAUACAAUGGUCGGGACAGAGGGUCGCCAACCCGCGAGGGGGAGCCAAUCCCAGAAACCCGAUCGUAGUCCGGAUCGCAGUCUGCAACUCGACUGCGUGAAGUCGGAAUCGCUAUU